UACGUAGGGCGCGAGCGUUGUCCGGAAUUAUUGGGCGUAAAGAGCUCGUAGGCGGCUUGUUGCGUCUGCUGUGAAAUCCCGGGGCUUAACCCCGGGCGUGCAGUGGAUACGGGCAGGCUGGAGGCAGGCAGGGGAGAAUGGAAUUCCCGGUGUAGCGGUGAAAUGCGCAGAUAUCGGGAGGAACACCGGUGGCGAAGGCGGCAUCCUGGACCGACAUUGACGCUGAGGAGCGAAAGCCAGGGGAGCAAACGGG
RNAcentral lists this ribosomal RNA (253 nucleotides) under uncultured bacterium. RNAcentral describes it as "partial 16S ribosomal RNA". It matches the Rfam family "Bacterial small subunit ribosomal RNA", at positions 524 to 776 of the family's 1533-position model. The record is from RNAcentral.